This 254-nucleotide ribosomal RNA is filed under the name uncultured bacterium. Its description in RNAcentral is "partial 16S ribosomal RNA". It matches the Rfam family "Bacterial small subunit ribosomal RNA", at positions 524 to 776 of the family's 1533-position model. The record is from RNAcentral.
UACGUAGGGUGCGAGUGUUGUCCGGAAUUAUUGGGCGUAAAGAGCUCGUAGGCGGUGUGUCACGUCGUUCGUGAAAACCUGCAGCUUAACUGUGGGCGUGCGGUCGAUACGGGCAUCACUGGAGUUCGGCAGGGGAGACUGGAAUUCAUGGUGUAGCGGUGAAAUGCGCAGAUAUCAGGAGGAACACCGGUGGCGAAGGCGGGUCUCUGGGCCGAUACUGACGCUGAGGAGCGAAAGCGUGGGGAGCAAACAGG